AGUACGGCCGCAAGGUUAAAACUCAAAGGAAUUGACGGGGACCCGCACAAGCGGUGGAGCAUGUGGUUUAAUUCGAUGCAACGCGAAGAACCUUACCUGGUCUUGACAUCCUGCGAACUUUCUAGAAAUAGAUUGGUGCCUUCGGGAACGCAGUGACAGGUGCUGCAUGGCUGUCGUCAGCUCGUGUCGUGAGAUGUUGGGUUAAGUCCCGUAACGAGCGCAACCCCUAUCCUUAUUUGCCAGCACAUCAUGGUGGGAACUAUAAGGAGACUGCCGGUGAUAAACCGGAGGAAGGCGGGGACGACGUCAAGUCAUCAUGGCCCUUAUGUCCAGGGCUGCACGCAUGCUACAAUGGCAAGUACAACGAGUCGCAAUACCGCGAGGUGGAGCAAAUCUCUUAAAGCUUGUCUCAGUUCGGAUAGGAGUCUGCAACUCGACUCCUUGAAGUUGGAGUCGCUAGUAAUCGCAAAUCAGCAAAGUUGCGGUGAAUACGUUCUCGGGGUUUGUACACACCGCCCGUCAAGUCACGGAAGUCGGCAAUACCCGAAGCCAGUGGUCUAACCCUUUUAGGGAAGAAGCUGUCGAAGGUAGGGUCGGUAACUGGGACUAAGUCGUAACAAGGUAACC
This 627-nucleotide ribosomal RNA is filed under the name uncultured marine bacterium. RNAcentral's name for it is "bacterial SSU rRNA". It matches the Rfam family "Bacterial small subunit ribosomal RNA", at positions 879 to 1501 of the family's 1533-position model. The record is from RNAcentral.